Molecule: ribosomal RNA, 435 nt
Filed under: uncultured bacterium
Lineage: Bacteria
Description: partial 16S ribosomal RNA
Rfam family: Bacterial small subunit ribosomal RNA
Source: RNAcentral
GAUGAACGCUGGCGGUAUGCUUAACACAUGCAAGUCGAACGGACUCUUCGGGGUUAUUGGCGGUCGGGUGGGGAACGCGUGAGAAUCAGGCUGUGGGUUCGGUACAACCACUGGAAACGGUGGCUAAUACCGGAUGUGCCGAUACGUAAAAGAGAAAUUUCCUGAAGAGUAGCUCGCGUCUGCUUAGCUAGGUGGUGAGGUAACGGCCCCCCAAGGCAGCGAUCAGUAGCUGGUCGGAGGGGAUGACCCGCCACAGUGGGACUGAGACACGGCCCAGACGUCUGCGGGGGGGAGGAGUGGGGAAUUUUCCGCAGUGCGCGAGAGUCUGGCGGCGAAGUACCGCGUGAGGGAAGAAGCUUCGUGGGUUGUAAACCUCUUUCCUUAGGGAAGAACAGAAUGACGGUACCUAAGGAAUCAGCAUCGGCUAACUACGUG